AUGCGCGCGGGGACCCGUGAGCCCUUGCGAGCGGCUCGACCAGGGCUCCCCUGACGCCGGCCCCGGUGCCUAAAGGGAAGGUUCACGUUCGCUGCGACUUGACACUUGCUUUGAAGGGAAGACCUUGAAGGUUUUUCUUCCCUGCUCCUAAAACGAAGGGCCUAGAAGUAUUAAAAACCCAUGGGCAAUGAGCAACCACUAGUGCCUAGAUUGUGGUCCUUAAAUGACAUUUCCCAUUUGAAGGAACCAGGAUUUCUUGGACGGCUGAGUCCAAGUCUGGGACAGUACCUGUACAAGAUGAGGCUGGAACAUCCUACUGAGCCAAAAACUAUGAUGUGAUCCAAGACAG
Molecule: long non-coding RNA, 349 nt
Organism: Lutra lutra (Eurasian river otter)
Lineage: Eukaryota; Metazoa; Chordata; Mammalia; Carnivora; Mustelidae
Exons: 2
Source: RefSeq, a predicted model, not a curated record